GUAGUUCAAAACCCACAUCUACUACAUUAUUUUGAGUAGUGCAAAGUAGGCAUAAAUAAUCAAACCUCAUCACUCUAACUAGCUGGCGCCAAGGUUAUUAAUCGGUUAUAAUAAAUAUUUUCAUUGUGACAGUACCAGUAAUAUGUUUUGUCAAAACUUCAAAACAGCAGUCCAUAAACUGUAGUUUAAGUUAAUGGUUACUGCUAUAAAGCUGCUAUAAGGCUUUACUACCCGGAUUCAAACAGGCACAGAUAAUGUCUUGCGGUGCAACACAAUCCGCCAGUAUUUUAAUCCUUGUAAUGAAGGUGUAAGCUUCAACCAGUGCUACCAGUCCAGGCAUGUAGACAUUAUCUUGCAAAGAUGGCGGCGCUGGCUCUGUCUGCUAGUAUGAGCCACGCUUUGCAAACCAAUUUGACAUUGUUUACCCUUUAUCUGUGUGGCUCUGAAUCCCAAAUAAGACCAAAAGCUGGGGUGCUUUUGAGUUAAAGUAAUCGUUGUUGGUGCUGAUUAUUCAUUUCAUGAUAAUGAGGAAAUUAAUUCACAAAGUAAAUAGAUUCCCUUCAAAAUAAACAAGUCUAUUAAAGAUUGAGGACUUUUUCCAUUAUUAAUAACUCUUGAGUUCUAGUGCAUCAUGCUAAAUAAUAAUAAAAUCUUUGUGAUUUAAGCUGUUGGUUCAAGUGUUUAUAUGGCAGGUGAUCUAAUCAGGUCGUUUUUUUUUCUUUUGUGCAUCUAAAAAUCUAAUCACAACAGCGACGUGACGCAUUAAAAAGUUGUCAGUCUGCCUCACAUCUCUCUCUCCUCUUCUGGUCCAAGCACAUCAGACUUUUUAGAGUUUUAAUUCACUCCCCGCUCUGGAAAAUCUCCGCUUCACACAGUUUGUCACUGAAUUUUUAUGAGUUUGCGUUGCAUACCUUUCUACUGUCUUAGCAGUGAAUUAUGUUGAAUUCUUUCGAGUGUUUCUCCUUAAAACAAACUCUGCUGUCAUUCACUUUGAGAUUCACAAAGAAGAACUGUUUAUCUCUGAGUUUGUGAGUCAAGAUGUUGGGUAGAAAUGCUGUUAACACGGGACGGUUUCUUAUUGGGAUCCAUUUAUAAAAAGGUUUAACACCACCUUGAAACCAAAUUCAAUUUUAUUCAUUAUGGGCCUGUCAAAGUGAGGUGUUUAUAGAGCGCUUUCAGUCCUGCUAUAAACAGGAUAUUAUGCUUUAUAGUAUUCCAGCUAAUUGAAAUAAUCCAAAAUCUGUGCCCUCUCAAACAAGCAUUUCUAAGAACUCUAAAAGUAACUGCUUUGUGACACUCACAGUACACAACGUAUACUAGAUCGAUCAAUACAUGUUGUGAGGAGCAUACACUGAAACUCAUCUCCAUCCCAGCCGUCAGAAAACACAUCCUCACAUGAAUGCUCUCUGACACGGAGCUCUGAUUACAAACCCACCCGUCACAAAUGACCAUGAUCUAUACCGCGCUCCCAAUGGCUCUCCUGGGAAGCUCCCCCUCUUAUUUCAUUUUUCAUCUCAUCCUCUUCCGCUUUAUUCUUCAGUUAUUCAAACUCACUAAAUCCAAAUAUGAGGAGACACGGAGCCCUGCUGUUUUGACAAGUUAAAUGACUACAGGCGAUGAUAUGCUUCCCAGCCAGUCUGUAAGCAGCACACGUCGCCAGCCACCGCCUCGCUGUGCUCAACCAAAACAUGUGUGUGUGCUCCUCAUUCCUGCAGCCACCAGACCUUCUCUCUGCAGCAUCCUUUUUUGAGGUAAAAUUGAAAUGGAUUGUGUCGCUCAAUAUUUUAUUGACAUCAACUUCACAGAAUGUUGCUACAGUGACACAGGGGAUAAUUAUUUCACCACAGAUUUCUUCCUCCCUGCAUUUUCUCUCCCUCUCUCUCUCUCUCUCUCUCUCUCUCACUCUCUCUUUCAGCCUUCCUCCAAGCCCUUCCAUUCCUGUAGAGAAUUAGUUCUGCAUAAAUUACCCAGUGGAAUAUUGAAUCAGUCUCCAGCCACCAAAGGCGAGUCUGUGUGGCUGAUUACUGAGCGGUGUGCACAAGAUGCGUGCAGACAAACACACGCGGAGGACGAGGGAGAGGGGCCUCUAAGCGAGGAGCUGACACCAUUGCAGAAAACAUGGAAAGAGGAGGACACCAUUGCAGAAAACAUGGAAAGAGGAGGAGGGAGGAAGAAAAAAAGAAGACAGGGGGGAGGGGGGAGAUCAGCCAAUCUGGAUAUGAGGAGUGAAGGCUGUAUUAGCCACCCUAGCUCCACACUAUCUUCUCAUUACUUAGUCAUUAGCAGGGGCAUGGUUUUAAAAGAAGGAGGGAUCAAUCAAUUGUCAUGGGUCAAUGUUUUGCAGCCCCAUUAUGAACCUUGGGUGGCUCUGUAAAUUAAGCACAGUAAUUACUCAUGUUAAUUACACAAAGAUGGUGGUCACAUUGAUCUGCAGAUACAUUUCGCAAAGUGUAAACGGUACGAGUAAACAGAGGUUUGAGGUGGAGUACGUAAAGGGGUAAUGCACUGAUCAUUUGAGGGAAAAAGAGACGAGUAAUUCUGCUUUUAAAAAGAGUUAAAAUCAUGUUUUUUUGCAAUGUUACGCUAAAAUCAUUACUUAAAACUCCUGUGAGGAACUUUAUGUUUGUGUCGAUUUUUGGCGCCCCCCUGUGGACAUUUAAAUCAUGUCACUGACACCUUUAUCCCAGUGGUUACAGGUAUUAGAAAUGUCAAUGAAAACAUGAUCAGUCUUGCUGCUGGUGGUCUUGUUUAUUCUAGUAGGUCAAAAGGGACAUAGCUUUAUAUUGCAUUGUGUUUUAUAACCAGGGAAAAUCCACACAGGAGCUUUAAUUGACAAAUAUUGUUUUUAUUUAUUUAUUUGUUUUUCUUGUUCUGUCUCUGUCUUCUCAGAUAUAGAGGAUUAGCCCUUUUUAACUAAUUGGCUUAUAUUUUCGACUAAAUAAUUUCACAUUUUGAACCAAUUUUAACACGUUAAAGCCUACCCAGAAAUUUUAUUCACUUGAGGUUAAUUUUUCAGGAAAAACAGGCUCUUAAAUCAGAUGUUUGUUUGUUUUUCCACAACUGAUGGUUAGGGCUAGGUGAUAAAAUGAUAACGAUAUAUAUAUCGAAAAUAAAUUUUCCUCUAUAUCAAUAUAAAACAUGGUCAAUAUGCUUUUCGAUAGUCAGCAUUCUGCCAUGUUUUGGCAGACUAUACGAAUAGCCAAUGAAAAGAGGAGUUGCCCCGGGUCCGCUUCGCGCUGAACCAAUCAUGUGCUGAAUUACAACUAAGUAGCAAACAACUGCGUAGUAACAGGCUGCAGCUACACACAACUAUAGCACUUGUGCAGCCGAAACAGCUGACCAUUCUGCUUUUAUAUCGCAACUCCUAACGACAAAACGUCAAAGAGACACAAAGACGACACAGAUGCAGUAGCUUAUUGUAUUAAAAAAGACAUGCUACCAAUAAGCACUGUUACAUUUCAUUUAAGAGUACCAGGGAACAUUUAAGAUUGACUAGUGAUUUUUUUUAUGUUGUGAUAUAUAUUAAUAUAGACUGAUAUGAAAAAAAUAUAUGAUAAACUUUUUCCCAUAUCGCCCAGCCCUACUGAUGGUAUAUGCAACAGAACAAUAACUACUGUAUCAAUUGUAAAGCUCCCCCUGACUACCUCUUUCAGUGUAACAAGUGGAAAAUGGGUCAAACAAGAGGGUUAAAGUACAUGUCAAAUAAGUUUUUGGCAAAUAUGCUUUCAGUCAUACCAGUAAGUUCUUAUAUUUUCUUUUAUGUUUAAACCAGGAUCAUCACAGCUGUUUAAAUCUACCUGUAUUCAACCUACAAACACAUCACCUACAAUUUAAAGUCCAAACCACUUCUAACUUGACAUCACUUAAUAAUAAAAUAACGCAUCAGAUUUCACAUAGCAUUUCUUCAGAGAUCCUUCAAGUGCUUUACAUUGGAUACAUCAUUCAUUCACACACACAGUCACACCUUGGUGGUGGUAAACUUCCUUUGUGGUCACAGCUGCCCUAGGGCAGACUGACGGAAACAUGGCUGCCAGUUUGCGCCUACGGGCUCUCCACACAACACUCACAAUCAUACAUCAGUGGAGGACACACUCUGGGAGCAAGGUGGGUUAAGCGUCUUCUCCAAGGACACAACGGACAGACUCAGGAUAGGGGGGAAUCGAACCACCAACCUUCCAGUAAUUGGACGACUGCUCUACCUCCUGAGCUACUGCCGCCCACUUGAGGUUUUUCAAGUUUCUGAAAGUGGAGGCUCAACUGUCCUGAAAUUUUAAGUCUGACAGACCCCCUCCCCAAAGUCCUAGUGUUGGGAACCAGGUGCAGGAACCUUUUCGAGGUAGUUACGAGAAAGUUCCAGCAGUGUAUCUUCAGCUUAUGUUGAAUACUGGGUCUCAAUAAUGAAUACUAUUUAGUCAUUUCUGACAUAAAAGACCAAAUUGAUUAGUCAAUUGAUUGAAAAAAAUCCCCUGUAGAUUGUGAUAAGUAACAAUUACAGUUAUUGAUUAUGGUCUUGAUUUGGUGGGAAUGAGAUUAGAAUCAUUAUCUGGUUAUAACACACCCUGAGGGCUUCAAUACAUACAAGAAACCAAAGAGGGAACUGUAACUCAGCGGAGGGCACUUCUCUUAAUCUAAAUCUAAUAGCCUACAGUAUUCAGCAGGACCAGUGACUAAAUCCCAGGAUCCCCUGUCCUGGGAGAGAACCAGUUUCCCUCCAUCUGAGCGGUUUGGGAUAUACAAUUCCCCCACAGGGAGUACAGUGUGUGUGUGUGGGCCUAUGUGUAAGAUCUAUUAGCUUACAGUAUUUGAUAGCUCCACAAAAAUGCUCUAGAGGCACUUUAAGGGAAGAUCACUGAGCUUCCUCUCAUGAUGAAAACAUGCUACUUGCAGUCCCUCAAGUGUUCUGAGCAUUUGUAUGCUCUUUACAUGGAGGCUUUUUACACAGCUUGAUACGUGGUGUUCUAGCACAUGAUUUCCGGGAUGUGAAGAUUUACAAACACCAAGCCUCCAGAGGCACUUUCAAAAAGCCCACACCAUGUUGAGCACAAUAUUAGAGGUUUAAUUAGAGGUCUAUGUGGGUUGUAAGUGGCAGCAUUAUAAGGAAAUGGAAAAUCAAAUGCUGUGGGGUAAUUUUCACUGUCAGCGGUUAUGAUUCGACAGAACAAUUAAUCAGCACAAACGCUUCGUGGAAGGAAAUGCUCAUCAGGAAGUCAUCAGUCGCCAUCAGUUCUUCCACAUCCAUUCAUCAAACUGCAGCACAGGUACAACAGUUUUCCUCUCUACUUUCACUCUCACUGUAUUUACAGCUAGGUCUGUUAGAAAUGCAUUUGCUGCCAUCUAGUGGCAGGAGUUCAUGCUAAAACAAACAGGGAAAAUAUGACCCAUAUUCACACAAGGAUGUAUUUUGAACACUUGGAACCACAUUACUAUCACAUACUGUAUGUUUUAUACCAUUGGAGUUAUAGGCCUGGAUGUUCACAUUUACAGGAAACUCAAGAGUAUGUUAAAGGGAUAUUCCGACGUAAAAUUAAUUAAGAUCAAACACACCGUAACACCGAGUUAGACACCCCUUCGAGAGAUGAAUGUUGCCGACCCCUUGCUUCUCUAGUUGAGGCCGACUUUAGCAAUACACGAUAGCAAUACAGAGAGCCACUUGCUCAACCAAAAAGCCACUCUAUAGCCACAAAUAAUGCUCAGAACAGCACCUAACUUCAUCAACAGUAUAGGGUCCCAGCCACAGCACUAGCCACCAAACAUCUUUUAAGCUUUACCUGAUUUCUUUAGCAAAGAGACUAAACAAAACUCACCUACUCUCUUCCAGCAGCCGCUUGUUUAUACGGAGACCUCAGGCCAGUCCAUUACAGACUGCUGCGGGGUGAUGCAGCUCAAGGAAGAACAUUUAUGAUCAUUUCUCAAUGGAAAUGCAAUCAGACUGAGACACUAAGGCAGAAGAACUACCACGUCUGUAGAGCAAAAUGAUUAAUUUGGUGAUUUUUACUUCAAGGAAAUAAAGUAAUGAUCAUAAAUGUUCUUCCUUGAGCUCCGUCACCCCACAAACUCUAAUUCUCACUCUAAUGCUAAGCCAAUCAUGAAUGUGCCCUUCAUCCUGGGUUACUGUAUUUACUAUACACUGUUUACACUGUAUUCCUUUUACACUGUUCUACACACGAUUCAGUUUCCUACUUGUUCCAUCCUUAAGUCAAAUUUCCCUUAUUUCUGUACUUUUUUGUCAUCUUCCUCUUUCUUGUAUAUGCAUUUUUUGAAUGGGUUUGUAAUACGCUGCCCUAAAUACCAUAAAUUAUCACAAGCAAAUCCUAAAUAAAUAUAAAUGUUCAAUAAUUAAGGUAGAUUUGGUUAAGUACUCAGACAUGUCCAUGUAACAUUUCAACUCAGGGGACACCUAUCAGUGACUAUUUGGUGUGUCUGCAGAGUCAGAUCAGAAGCAGUAAAUUAGUAAAUUAUGGAUGCUCAAUAUAAUAAAAGAAAUGCUCUAACUGUGUGAGUCAAAAGUGAUUGUUUAUGUGGAUUUUAAAGUCCUUGCCUCGUUUCCAGUACCAUCUAAAAUAUCAGACCUCUCGUGAGUAAAAAAAUGUGUUUGUAUAUUGUAUGACCUAAAAUUUUAAGUCUUACCCAAGACUUUUAAAGACUUUUUUAAGGUGCUGCAAGAAGCCUGCUCAGCAAGGAACUUAUUUUGUUGACAUAACACUUGAAGUUCACGAAUAGGAAGCCAACAGUAAGGAAAGUGAACGCAUUUAAGGUUGAUGCUAGGUAUGCUAAUUUAAAGAAGACAGACUGUAACCUUAAGUGAAAGUACACAGCCAAAGAAAUAAUAAAAACACUCACCUCAGUCGUGUUUCGCUUUGCUCUGUGUACAUGUGAGAGUUUUGAGAAGAAGGGCAGCACAUUCACUGUACUUUCCUCCGGCAAACUUGUUUUUGGGAUUCACGACCUCCAUAACAUUAUUUGGAAAUCUAAACAUGUUAUUUUGCCGCCUCGCCGCUAGGCGGCAGCACUUGCAUCCUGGUGGCGCUCCGGUUCGCAGAAUCCCUCUUUGUAGCUGUUGUUGAGCACAGGCGAAUGCUGCGUUCAGGUUCUCACUGUAAAUAAGAGUUUUACGAAAAACUUAAGUCAUAAACCCUGUCCUUUGCAAGCCUGCAGGCUGGCGCUACAAAACAAUGUUGGAUUUAAGACAACAAAAUCAAGAUAUGAGUACAUGUGUCAUGUAUUUAGAAUAUCCACAGUACUUCUGUGUAAAUUCAACUCAUUUGCUUGAUUUGUGUACAGCAGUUGGUUCACCAGUUACUGUAAUUGUCACAUUUUCUCAAUUUUCUUAUUUUUUAAAAUAUAUACUACACGUGUCUCUUUUAUGCUAUGUCUCCCUACCCAACGAAGUCCGCUUCGUGGUAGUUCGUGAUUGUUUCAAAAUGCAGAUUAAAGAUAUUCACUUGGACUAGAGAUGGGCACUGCAGUUCUUCUAGAUGUACUGAAUCACUAGAAUCAGUUCACUGAAAAGAUUCGUUCAAAAGAUUCAUUUAUCAAAUCACCGAAUCAUUCAGCGCUUGGCAGGAGGAGCCUGCGACUCCGACUUCCUGAAGAGACACACAGCUGAAGAAUUCAGGUUUUGGUCCAGUUCAUGGCUCCUGAGCCCGGGAGGUGAUAUUUUUUUGCAGGAUGGUAGGGGAAAGUCCCGCCUCCUUUGUCUCUGAUUGGCGAAAAAAGCUGGAAUUGUCAUCACACGCUCGAGCCAAAUGCAGGCUGUUAGCUUUGUACAUCGAACAGAACAUUACAGAACUUUAUCGCACUUGUGAAUCGCCAAACCCUAACCAUAACCAUAACCAUAACCAUUACCCGGCAGACGAUGACGUUUCACAGCCAUUAGGAAUAACCAAUCAGAGCCCAGCACUUCUAGCUAGUCAGUGGCGAAGGAGGGCGGGACAUUCCCCUAACAUCCUACAAAAAAAAAAUUUGCGCCUGUGAGAUGAGAGUGUUGUGCGUACAGUCCCUCCCUUCCUGCGCCAGCUGAUUGCCCAGCAAUACUAAAUACUAUGGCAGCUGCACUGCUGACAGCUAAACUUAGCUGAGAAAUGAACGAUUCACUUGAGGAAGUGAUUCGGUUCAGUACAUUCACUUAGAAGAUUCGUUCUUUUGAAUGAAUCAUUCGGGAAUGACAAAACACUUGCUACGACCGAGAUGCGAAGGCAACACGGCUGUUUCACAUGCAAUCAACUCAUUG
Non-coding RNA from Xyrichtys novacula (pearly razorfish), 8230 nucleotides. Lineage: Eukaryota; Metazoa; Chordata; Actinopteri; Labriformes; Labridae. The record is from the annotation of a GenBank genome assembly.